UACGUAGGGUGCGAGCGUUGUCCGGAAUUAUUGGGCGUAAAGGGCUCGUAGGCGGUCUGUCGCGUCGGCUGUGAAAACCCGGAGCUCAACUCCGGGCCUGCAGUCGAUACGGGCAGACUGGAGUUCGGCAGGGGAGACUGGAAUUCCUGGUGUAGCGGUGAAAUGCGCAGAUAUCAGGAGGAACACCGGUGGCGAAGGCGGGUCUCUGGGCCGAUACUGACGCUGAGGAGCGAAAGCGUGGGGAGCGAACAGG
This 253-nucleotide ribosomal RNA is filed under the name uncultured bacterium. Its description in RNAcentral is "partial 16S ribosomal RNA". It matches the Rfam family "Bacterial small subunit ribosomal RNA", at positions 524 to 776 of the family's 1533-position model. The record is from RNAcentral.